Molecule: long non-coding RNA, 1149 nt
Filed under: Sorghum bicolor (sorghum)
Lineage: Eukaryota; Viridiplantae; Streptophyta; Magnoliopsida; Poales; Poaceae
Description: long non-coding RNA (SBIC_LNC002776)
Source: RNAcentral
UCGCCUCCGCUUCAGUCUCGUGGCUUCUGGAGUCUUCUAGAUGUAAGAUAAUUGCGCGGCACGUUAAUAUCUUUAUGUCAUCCCGACGUGUGGGUCUUUCUUCCAUAUUUCCUGAUAACCCCCUACAGAAAUAGACAAACACCAAAACUCAUGGAAUUCUAUCACAUAAAACCCUAAGUCUAGAUGUUGAUUUCAUUUGGAUCCUUUUCUUUCUUUAUUUGAUAAUUAAAUUUGAUACUUAAGGACCGUCAACAAGCAUGAACCUAAAACUAAAGUCUAGGUAAGAGAAAGGCAUGAUAUAAAGUUUGAGCUACUGUUUAUAUUGUUCCUACUAUACUAAGUUCUAGAGAUUUAUUUUAAAAGAAAACUCGCAAAUCACAUGAAGAGAUCCUAGCAUUGCAAACUUCCUAUCACAGCCAUACUUAUAAUAUCUUUUCCUACUUAUUCACAUUGGGUUUGAUGGAGCUGUGUAGACCCUUAGGAGCUUUUCAUGUGGUUAAAUUAAGAUAUUCACUUGCACACAUCCACUACACCAUUCACCACCAUACAUUAAAAUUGCUAAAAGUAUUAUUAUCACUCACUGUCCCAAGUAUUGUUAUUCUCUCUCUCUAAAAAGAUUCAAUGCAGAAGAGGCAUGGGUUAUGCAAAAAUACACGAAUAAAUAAAAAGGGGCAAGUGCCUGGAACCUCGAAAAAGAAAGAAAAAGAGUGAGACGAGAGGUAAAAAUGGACAAGUGUCCGGAGUAGAAUUAGGGGUACAAAGUUGCCCACUUGAGUGGAAAAAAUGGACAAGUGUUCGACAGUAGAACUAGGGGUGUCUACUACCCACCUAAAAAAAGAGAAAAGAAAAAGAUAGCCCAUGUUCUUCCAAAGCAAAGAUCAAAGAAGAGGAGAGAUAGCAAUACGAGGAGCAAUGAGAAGUAAGUUUUAUCAUCACUUAUACAUUUUUACCAUCACUAUCAUUUACUCCACCACACAUGCACAUCUUGAUUUAAUUAUAUGCUGAGUUCCUUUGGAUCCAUGGCUCGAUUAGACAACAUAUGUAUGAGCUGUUUUUCACUCCUAUGAGCUCCACUUAAAUAUUCCAUUAGCUAUAGGUAAGUGACAUUUUGGUAAGGAUCCACAAAUACCACAUAUAGAGAAACUUGAG